GUUUAUAUAGUUUAAUAAAAACAUUAGAUCGUGAAUCUAAAAACAGAGGCAAAGACCCUCUUUUAACCC
Molecule: transfer RNA, 69 nt
Filed under: Xantusia sanchezi
Lineage: Eukaryota; Metazoa; Chordata; Lepidosauria; Squamata; Xantusiidae
Description: tRNA-His
Rfam family: tRNA
About the family: Transfer RNA (tRNA) molecules are approximately 80 nucleotides in length. Their secondary structure includes four short double-helical elements and three loops (D, anti-codon, and T loops).
Source: RNAcentral